This 492-nucleotide ribosomal RNA is filed under the name uncultured bacterium. RNAcentral describes it as "partial 16S ribosomal RNA". It matches the Rfam family "Bacterial small subunit ribosomal RNA", at positions 29 to 507 of the family's 1533-position model. The record is from RNAcentral.
AGUGAGCGCUGGCGGCAGGCCUAACACAUGCAAGUCGAACGGAAGCACAGUAAGAGCUUGCUCUUACGGGUGGCGAGUGGCGGACGGGUGAGGCAUACAUCGGAAUCUACUUUUUCGUGGGGGAUAACGUAGGGAAACUUACGCUAAUACCGCAUAUGUCCUACGGGUGAAAGCAGGGGAUCUUCGGAGCUUGCGCGAUAGAAUGAGCCGAUGUCGGAUUAGCUAGUUGGCGGGGUAAAGGCCUACCAAGGCGACGAUCCGUAGCUGGUCUGAGAGGAUGAUCAGCCACACUGGAACUGAGACACGGUCCAGACUCCUACGGGAGGCAGCAGUGGGGAAUAUUGGACAAUGGGCGCAAGCCUGAUCCAGCCAUGCCGCGUGGGUGAAGAAGGCCUUCGGGUUGUAAAGCCCUUUUGUUAGGAAAGAAAAGCAGCAGGUUUAUACCCCGCUGUUCUGACGGUACCCAAAGAAUAAGCACCGGCUAACUUCGUG